This 81-nucleotide transfer RNA is filed under the name Palleronia marisminoris. RNAcentral describes it as "tRNA_Cys_GCA". The stretch from base 18 to 70 matches the Rfam family "tRNA", at positions 10 to 63 of the family's 71-position model. Rfam says of the family: Transfer RNA (tRNA) molecules are approximately 80 nucleotides in length. Lineage: Bacteria; Pseudomonadati; Pseudomonadota; Alphaproteobacteria; Rhodobacterales; Roseobacteraceae. The record is from RNAcentral.
GUCAGGUUAGAAGUCCUGCGGGGCGUAUCGCAGCGGAUUGCAAAUCCGUGCACACCGGUUCGAUUCCGGUACUCGCCUCCA